This 460-nucleotide ribosomal RNA is filed under the name uncultured bacterium. RNAcentral's name for it is "bacterial SSU rRNA". It matches the Rfam family "Bacterial small subunit ribosomal RNA", at positions 30 to 504 of the family's 1533-position model. The record is from RNAcentral.
UGAACGCUGGCGGCGUGCUUAACACAUGCAAGUCGAACGGUAACAGAAGCAGCUUGCUGCUUGCUGACGAGUGGCGCACGGGUGAGUAAUAUAUAGUUAAUGUACCUCGAAGACCGGGAUAGCCAUUGGAAACGAUGAUUAAUACUGGAUAGUCCUUCUUUACUUAAGUAGAGUCGGUAAACGUUUUUUCGCUUCGAGAUCAGACUAUAUCCCAUCAGCUUGUUGGUAGUGUAAGAGACUACCAAGGCAAUGACGGGUAGCGGGUUUGAGAGGAUGAUCCGCCACACUGGUACUGAGACACGGACCAGACUCCUACGGGAGGCAGCAGUGAGGAAUAUUGCACAAUGGGGGAAACCCUGAUGCAGCAACGCCGCGUGGAGGAUGACGCAUUUCGGUGUGUAAACUCCUUUUAUGAGUCAAGAAAAUGACGGUAGCUCAUGAAUAAGCACCGGCUAACUCC